Non-coding RNA from Schizosaccharomyces pombe (fission yeast), 626 nucleotides. Lineage: Eukaryota; Fungi; Ascomycota; Schizosaccharomycetes; Schizosaccharomycetales; Schizosaccharomycetaceae. The record is from the annotation of a GenBank genome assembly.
UGAAUCCUAUUUGACUUGGAGGGAAACAAAUCAAGGGAAGGAUUGACUCGGCGACGUAAAAAGAACUUUACUUCAACAGAUAGUAGCAAUUGUGGAAGAAAAUUCAAGACUUAGCAAUGAGCGAGAAAGUGAGCACAAAGCAAGUCUGUAAUGGAGAAAAAGUGAGGAAUACGACAAAGUUCAAUGAAUAGAAUUUUGUAAGAAAUACUCCAAGUUGUUGAUUGCUAUUCAAAGAAAAGAAUCAACAGAAGCUCGUAAGAAACAAAACCGGCGAAUUAAAAUUCGGAAUUGAAUUGAGCAGAGAUAUACUGUAAUUAUUUUUAGCAGUUAGCAAAAAUAAAAAAACAGUACCAAUUCGAUGGCUAGAAGAAAGCAAAGCACAAUAGACCUUGAAAAUGAAUCAAGGAACAAGGAAUUUUUUUUGGGGGAAAAAGAAGUUUAAGAAAGAGUAGGUGAAAUGUUGGCAACACCUAUGUAUAUGAAACUCGACCUACAAUGAAAGGCGAACAGAAUGAAGAUAGAAAAAAUGAUCAACAAAGAAGAAAAGAAGAAUGGAUAGAUGGAAAGUGUAUCCAAUGGUCAAAACCAAUCGAUGGUGAAGACAAGUAAAAGAACAAGAACAAGUA